GCAUUGGUUGUUCUGUGGUAGAAUUCUCGCCUGCCACGCGGGAGGCCCGGGUUCGAUUCCCUGCCAUUGCA
Molecule: transfer RNA, 71 nt
Filed under: Saccoglossus kowalevskii
Lineage: Eukaryota; Metazoa; Hemichordata; Enteropneusta; Harrimaniidae
Description: tRNA-Gly
Rfam family: tRNA
About the family: Transfer RNA (tRNA) molecules are approximately 80 nucleotides in length.
Source: RNAcentral